This 468-nucleotide ribosomal RNA is filed under the name uncultured bacterium. Its description in RNAcentral is "partial 16S ribosomal RNA". It matches the Rfam family "Bacterial small subunit ribosomal RNA", at positions 28 to 507 of the family's 1533-position model. The record is from RNAcentral.
GACGAACGCUGGCGGCGUGCUUAACACAUGCAAGUCGAACGGAAAGGCCCUGCUUUUGUGGGGUGCUCGAGUGGCGAAAGGGUGAGUAACACGUGAGUAACCUGCCCUUGACUUUGGGAUAACUUCAGGAAACUGGGGCGAAUACCCGGUAGGAGCUUCUGCUCCAUGGUGUGGGUUGGAAAGGUUCGGCGGUUGGGGAUGGACUCGCGGCUUAUCAGCUUGUUGGUGGGGUAGUGGCUUACCUAGGCUUUGACGGGUAGCCGGCCUGAGAAAGUGACCGGGCACAUUGGCACUAGGGUACGAUCCAGACUCCUACGGGAGGCAUCAGUCGGGAGUAUUGCACAGUGGGGGCGAGACAGAUGCAGCAACGCGGCGUGCGGAAUACCGGCUUUCUGGUUGUAAACCGCUUUCGCAUGUGACGCAGAGAGAGUGACGGUAAUGGGUAAAGAAGCACCGGCUAACUACGUG